Molecule: ribosomal RNA, 467 nt
Filed under: uncultured bacterium
Lineage: Bacteria
Description: partial 16S ribosomal RNA
Rfam family: Bacterial small subunit ribosomal RNA
Source: RNAcentral
ACGCACGCUGGCGGCGUGCUUCACCCAUGCCAGUCGCACGGAAAGGCCCUGCUUUUGUGGGGUGCUCGAGCGGCGAACGGGUGAGUAACACGUGAGUAACCUGCCCUUGACUUUGGGAUAACUUCAGGAAACUGGGGCUAAUACCGGAUAGGAGCUCCUGCUGCAUGGUGGGGGUUGGAAAGUUUCGGCGGUUGGGGAUGGACUCGCGGCUUAUCAGCUUGUUGGUGGGGUAGUGGCUUACCAAGGCUUUGACGGGUAGCCGGCCUGAGAGGGUGACCGGCCACAUUGGGACUGAGAUACGGCCCAGACUCCUACGGGAGGCAGCAGUGGGGAAUAUUGCACAAUGGGCGGAAGCCUGAUGCAGCAACGCCGCGUGCGGGAUGACGGCCUUCGGGUUGUAAACCGCUUUCGCCUGUGACGAAGCGUGAGUGACGGUAAUGGGUAAAGAAGCACCGGCUAACUACGUG